GCUGUCCCUUCCAGGGUCCUGCCCGUCCCCUCCAGGGUCCCGCUGUCCCCCCAGGCACCCUGCCCAGGAGGGGAUUUACCGAUUUUAUCCGGGGCUCCUGCGGGACAGCGGCCGUGAAGGAAUGCGGGCAGCUCCCGGCUGACCCUCGCUGGCUCGGAGUUACCUGCUGCGGUUCAUUUUUUAAUUCUUUAAUUUGGUCCCGGCUUUUGGAAGCCCUCACCGCGCCUCCCCUCAGGGCGCGCACCUGCUCCGCGCCUUGAUCCGCUCUUCCUACACAGCAGCUACCUUCUCUCUUUUUUUUUCCCCCCCCCCCCACUUAUUUCAUGCUGGAAAUCUUCUUGCCUUGAAGUUAUUUUCGGCGGAAAAAAAAAUGAAAGAGCUCAGAUUACACCAUAGCUUGUGUGGUGGAAAAAAGGGGGGGGAAAUCCCAUUUUUUUUAGAAAUAUUUUAAUGCUGCCCCUAAUAGUCCUACGAGUAUAUGCCUCCUUUCACAUUCCGUGAUUUUCCCGCAGAGGAAGCGCCGACCAAGAAGUUCUUCCGCAAGUACAACUGAAUUGAGCAGGACGAAGACACAAAAACUAUGUAAGAGUAAUGCUCGGGCUCUGAAGAGCCCUGAGGAGCUGUUACUCUGAAACAGACCCAGUAUGUUUGCAGGUGCACCCCACCAAACGAAACCCAUUCCAAGGCUGGCAGAGAUGUUCACUACAAGGAACUGGAGAAAACAGGAUGUUUGCUUCUCUCCCAGGCCUGUGCUCUACCAGUCUGACCUGCUUCUCCUCCUUGCCUUUUCUGCUAUUCAGGAACCAGGGCUCCAGAGCUCUACAGCCACAGGAAGCACUGCUGGGGAGGAGAAUUGCUUCCCUGGCUCCUGCAGCUUGGACACCAGCAUGAGGCAAUCAGGAGGGUAAUCAAGGAGAAAGGUAUACAGGAAUUGCCACGAGAACAUUGUGUCUUACUAGGAGUUCCCAGCGCUGCUGAGAUUCAGAGUCUGUUUUCUCAAAACAGCUUGAAAGAGAGCUGAAGUCUCAGGCAGUGAAAUAAUCUUUCUGGCCCCCACCAGCAACAGCUUACAGUGGGAAGCAACAGUGGGAAGCCAUUAAUACAUAGUUAUUGAUGUUGUUAUCAAAAUGUAUUACUAAGAGAAAGGCUCAAAGCUGUCCACUGAUCUUUUUACCAUGACUGUGACAAAAAAGCUUCCAAAGCAUUCAGUGAACACUGACCUCCCUGCUUACCUUGACACAUAAUUUUUCCCACUGUCUUUGGGCACAGGAAGCUCCAAGUGAAAACCCCCAGGUACACAAAGGCAGGAGUGCUGAAGGAAUGUUGGAAGGGUGGAUGGACUGAUGCUGUCCUCUGAUGGAUUCAUUGCCCAGGUUCAUGUGUUUAUAUAAAACCUGCAAUGCUGUUCAUAGCCCCUCAUAGCAGUGGAAUUGGUGAGAGAGCAGCUCUGGGACAAGCACUUCCAGUUCAGUAAAUCUUUGCCUUCCUUUGCUUUGCCAAGUUGCACAAAGUCAUUGGUUCAAGGUCAGUUUCUGUGUGCUUCGUAAAGUGUCCCCAAACCAGCUCUGACACAGCCUCAAUCAGAUCUUUCUUACAGAGCAGCACCACAGUGUGAUGAAGGAAGUAGAACAAACCCAAAUAUCUGAACCUUCAGAAGCUACUUUA
Molecule: long non-coding RNA, 1665 nt
Organism: Melospiza melodia melodia
Lineage: Eukaryota; Metazoa; Chordata; Aves; Passeriformes; Passerellidae
Exons: 4
Source: RefSeq, a predicted model, not a curated record